UACGUAGGGCGCAAGCGUUGUCCGGAAUUAUUGGGCGUAAAGAGCUCGUAGGCGGUUUGUCGCGUCUGUCGUGAAAGCUUGGGGCUUAACCCCAAGUCUGCGGUGGAUACGGGCAGACUAGAGGCAGGUAGGGGAGAACGGAAUUCCCGGUGUAGCGGUGAAAUGCGCAGAUAUCUGGAGGAACACCGGUGGCGAAGGCGGCAUCCUGGACCGGUAUUGACGCUGAGGCGCGAAAGCUAGGGGAGCAAACGGG
RNAcentral lists this ribosomal RNA (253 nucleotides) under uncultured bacterium. Its description in RNAcentral is "partial 16S ribosomal RNA". It matches the Rfam family "Bacterial small subunit ribosomal RNA", at positions 524 to 776 of the family's 1533-position model. The record is from RNAcentral.